CGCAUGCACCUUAGCGGUGCAGGGUCCCCGCAGGAGCACUUGGCCCAGAGCCUGGCCCAGAGCAGGCUUUUAGUAAAAGCUGAGUGAAUGAACUAAUGAUGGAAUGAAUUGCAACUCUCAGCUGAGCCUCAGUUUCUUCAUCUGUAAAAGGUGUGUGACCUCCACCACCAACCAGCUGUGACUGUUGAGUGUUGAGCGGGGAGUAUUACUUGAUUCCCCAGGGCCUCAGCUUUCUGCUCUGUGAAAGGGAGACGGUGAUCUUGCCUGGUCAGCCUGAGAGCUUGUGGGUAGUGAUAAAUGACCAUGGGUGUGGUCACAUUUUUGCAAAGUGUAAAAAGCUACACCCUGGAAUUUAUUCUCCUGAAUCUUUCUCUACAGGACCUGGAACAUGGCAGACAGUCAGUAAGUGCUGGGUCACCUUCAGGCCACCCUGGACCAUCCAGCUCUAGCUAAGCCAUCAGCUGACUACAACUACAUGAAUGAACCCAGGAGAUAAGAGCAGAAGAAUCACCUAGCUGAGCCCAGCCAAACUGCAGCAUAUAGUAUCAUGAGCUAAUAAACAAUUCCUGCUUUAAGCCCUAAGCCCUAACAAUUUGAAGUCCUUGUUACACAGCAAAUACUGUUGCAAACAAUGACGUUUUAAGAAGAGCUGGGAUCGAGCUGGUAUUUAGGAGCAACUGAAACCAGGACUCUCUUGUUCUGUCUCAUGUCUUUCCUAUUUUCUGCACGUUAUCUUCCCUCUCUUUCAUAGCACAUUGAUUUUCUUCAUGGUGCAGAGAAAAAGGUUGAGUUUUAUAGCUUGCAUCUUCAAGAUAAUGGAGAAAAACUGAUUCUGUUUUCUGCAUCUCAGAUCUAAAAAUCCCUGGGAAAAGACUCAUUGGCCCAGCUUAGGUCAAGCCUCCCCUUGGACCAAUCAACUGGUAAUGGAGUAGGGAGGGCACUCCAUCACAACACACACGUUAGAUGACAUAUGAGCAAAACUAUCCCAGGCACUGUUUUAAGGCUUAACAUGUGUUAACUGACUUCAUCCUCAUAAUACAACAAUCCCAUCAGAGCUAUUAUUGUCUCUGUUUUGAAGUGAGGAAACUGAAAACAAGCCACAGAGAGGUGAAGUAACUUGCCCAAGACUACACAGCUAAAAAGAGGUGCAGCCAGGACUUACACCACAGCUAUCUGACUCCAGAAUCCACCCACUUAAUGACCACAGUGGUCUGCCUCUCAUAUUGAGUUCCUGGGGGGUUCCAAUAGAUUGAGGGGUGGGCAGGAUGGAGGCACUCCAAGGAAAUAUCUGGAAUGCUAACUCAGAGAAGGUAAGCCUCUGGGGGCCCUUGAUCUCACUGUCUUCAGGCCUCUAAAUGACUCUCACUAGGCAAUGGCAGUGGAAGGUUCUGGAUCACCUCAGAAAACAAAUCUAGGAUCAGUGGGUGGACACCACUGGAAAGUGGGUUUCAAUUCGAUGGUAGGAAUUUCUUCAGAGUCAGGGAUAUUAGUGCUCAAAGUCACACAACAAGCUGAACUGGGGUUUAAACUUAUGCCUGAAGGAGUGCUGAGGCUUUGCUGUUAACCACUGUGCCCCAUCUUCGUUUCCUUCUCAAAAUGAGGAAAAGAAUAUUGGUGGAGGUGAGGCAGGGAGACACAGGGCCUACAUCUACCCACAUUUCAUUAAAGGCCUGCUGUUUCCCAGCAGAUGGAGGCUGCUUAUGUGAUCAUCUCCAGUUACCCCGUGGGUUUGCCCCGCCCCCUUGGCUGGUGUGUAAAUUCCCUGUGGGGAGAGUCAUGUGCCCUCUUAAAUG
Molecule: long non-coding RNA, 1793 nt
Filed under: Homo sapiens (human)
Lineage: Eukaryota; Metazoa; Chordata; Mammalia; Primates; Hominidae
Description: HSALNT0005529
Source: RNAcentral